GAGUAACACGUGAGCAACCUGCCUUUAAGAGGGGGAUAACGUUUGGAAACGAACGCUAAUACCGCAUAACAUAGAAGAUUCGCAUGUUUCUUCUAUCAAAGAUUUAUCGCUUAAAGAUGGGCUCGCGUCUGAUUAGCUGGUUGGUGAGGUAACGGCUCACCAAGGCGACGAUCAGUAGCCGUACUGAGAGGUAGAACGGCCACAUUGGGACUGAGACACGGCCCAGACUCCUACGGGAGGCAGCAGUGGGGAAUAUUGCACAAUGGAGGGAACUCUGAUGCAGCGAUGCCGCGUGAGGGAAGAAGGUUUUAGGAUUGUAAACCUCUGUCUUCAGGGACGAUAAUGACGGUACCUGAGGAGGAAGCUCCGGCUAACUACGUGCCAGCAGCCGCGGUAAUACGUAGGGAGCGAGCGUUGUCCGGAAUUACUGGGUGUAAAGGGAGCGUAGGCGGGAUCUUAAGUCAGGUGUGAAAACUAUGGGCUCAACCCAUAGACUGCACUUGAAACUGAAGUUCUUGAGUGAAGUAGAGGCAGGCGGAAUUCCUAGUGUAGCGGUGAAAUGCGUAGAUAUUAGGAGGAACAUCAGUGGCGAAGGCGGCCUGCUGGGCUUUUACUGACGCUGAGGCUCGAAAGCGUGGGGAGCAAACAGGAU
RNAcentral lists this ribosomal RNA (652 nucleotides) under uncultured bacterium. RNAcentral's name for it is "bacterial SSU rRNA". It matches the Rfam family "Bacterial small subunit ribosomal RNA", at positions 108 to 778 of the family's 1533-position model. The record is from RNAcentral.